Ananas comosus (pineapple) is the source of this 205-nucleotide long non-coding RNA. RefSeq lists it as uncharacterized. The transcript is spliced from 3 exons. Lineage: Eukaryota; Viridiplantae; Streptophyta; Magnoliopsida; Poales; Bromeliaceae. The record is from RefSeq and is a predicted model, not a curated record.
CGGGACUUCGAGAGAAAUCCACGAAGCCCUUAUUUGCUGGAUUUGGUGAAGAGCUUGGAGUUAGCUCGAGCACUGGACUUGGAGGACUCCGGUUGAUCCAGCAAGGAUCAUUUUGGUUCGAGGCUUCGGUUGCUGCCAGAAGCUAGCAUUUCGAGAGCCCCAGGUUUCGGCUGCUGCACUCUCCGAGACGGAUCGAGGCAAGGGC